Long non-coding RNA from Entelurus aequoreus (snake pipefish), 3671 nucleotides. RefSeq lists it as uncharacterized. The transcript has 4 exons. Lineage: Eukaryota; Metazoa; Chordata; Actinopteri; Syngnathiformes; Syngnathidae. The record is from RefSeq and is a predicted model, not a curated record.
AUAUUUUAACUUUUUUAAGACUUUAUUGAAUAAAAAGCGAGUCAACAUGCUAUAUAACAUUACAAAAGCCAUGGUAAUUGUGACACACAUCUAUUAAUUAAUUAAUUGAUUAAAUAAUCCUAUUUCAUCUUUUAAUGUCAAUGCAGUGCUGACUGUGUUGUCACGGUGCUAAAGACACAUUCCCAUGUCUUGGUCGUAUGCAGUUAAGAAAAUGACUUUAAAAAAGUAAUUAUUUCCAGUUACUUGAAUUACUAACAUAAUUAUUCUCUAAUUAUCUAAUUAAUUACAAGGGAACGUAAUUCAUGCGUUACUUUUUCUUUAAUUUUGAGUGUGUACCUGUAAAAGUCGGUGUAUGUUGCCAAGUGAAGCAUGAAUGGAAUGUACUGAAUGUUUUCACUCUGGGUAUUAUAGGAUUAUUAUUGUUGAUGAUUGUCACUUUAUUUAAUGUUCAUUAUUUCCUCAUAGUACCUACUCAGUGGCCUAGUGCUUAGAGUGUCUGCCCUGAGAUCGGUAGGUUGUGAGUUCAAACCCCGGCCGAGUCAUACCAAAGACUAUAAAAAUGGGACCCAUUACCUCCCUGCUUGGCACUCAGAAUCAAGGGUUGGAAUUGGGGGUUAAAUCACCAAAAAUGAUUCCCGGGCGCAGCACCGCUGCUGCCCACUGCUCCCCUCACCUCCCAGGAGGUGAUCAAGGGGAUGGGUCAAAUGCAGAGGACAAAUUUCACCACACCUAGUGUGUGUGUGACAAUCAUUGGUACUUUAACUUUAAAUUAUUAGUAUUGGCAUGCGCGCUGGUGUGUGUGUGUGUUCUGGCAAUGCUUACUUAUUGGGGACAUCGCUCUGUUUACAAAGUCACUUUAGGGGACCUUUGACGUUAUGGGGACAAAAAAACAGGUCUCCUAAAGGGAAACCUUUUUGAAUAAUAGUCAGAUCGAUUCUGAAGAUGCCUAAGUGAUUUUUAAGCCCCUUAAUCGGGCUGCAGCUGGUACUGCACUGGCUGGUCCUUCAUUGAUUACUUUAACAAUUAACACCUGGCGCGCCACACAGAGGCAGCGUGAGCGCAGGAGUUCUACAUUUCGGACGUCGAGACACGGAAGCAAGUCGUUUAACCUAAAAGGUAAGAACAUAUUUCUUAUAAAUGGAGGUUAUUGACUAUCAUUUGUAAAAGAUUAAUGUGUUUAUGACCAAGUUAAGCCAACAAAUUAGCAGCGAAGCAAACCUUUUCCAACGGGUGCAUUUAAUUAAGAACAUGAGCCUUGCUCAAAAAAAAGCUUGUGAAUCACUUUGUGUUUUUGAUUUUUUGGCAUUUGGACUGGUUUAUAGUCAUAGUAGCUCUAAUUUCAUGCUAAUUGGUUGUCUAUAAGGACUUUUAAGAAGUUAUAUGUAUAGUUAUGAUGGGCAUUGGAGAUUAAGGACAUUUUAAAAACCUCACAUUGAUUUUGUUUCACACAUUUUAGAUGAAAGACAUAUGUACAGUAGACCACAUGGACUUGGACAUAAACAGCAUAACACCUGAUGUAACUGUAACAUAGGAAUACUGCUCAAGUCAGGAAACAAUUCACAAUGUAGUUGUUCGCCCUCCCAUUACAAAACAUGGAAAAAGAGUUUACAACAAAAGACAUUAUUUUUGUAUUGCAGUAAGCCUUAUGCCAAGCUGGCACAACUUCUAAAAAGUGCACACAAAAACAAAUUGGAAGUAGCCACAGCUCUUAGCUUUCCAACGAGUUCCAUGGAGAGAAGGAAGCAGCUAAAGAUUAUUCGUAAUAAAGGGAACUACGCUCACAAUGCUGCUAUUAUGGAGUUAGGGAAGGGUGAACUAGUGCCAUUCAAACGACCACCUAAUGAAGCUAAAGGAAAUGAUGUCAUGCACUGUGCACAUUGCCAAUGACUGUUUACCAGAAAGGUACUGUGGAGACACAUGCGAAGUUGCCCACUCAAACCUUCAUCAGUCACCCGAACACCAGGAAAGAACCGUGUCCAGUCUCUCUGCAUAUAUACUGGGCCUGUGCCUUCAAGUGUAUCCAAACAACUGUGGGGAGUUAUAAGUGUCAUUAUUCCUGAUCCAAUCACAGAAAUAAUAAAAAAUGACCAUUUCAUCACAGAUGUUGGGCAGCACCUGUUGAACAAAAGUGGUAUGUCAGCAAAAAAUCAACAAUGUGUCAGAGAGAAGAUGCGGGAAUUAGGAAGACUGAUUCAUAAUGCCAGGAGAGUAACUACCUUGAAAAAAAUGGAGGAUUUUGUGAAUCCUAAGAACUACUUGGAGAUGGUCAAAGCUGUCAAAUGUACUUGUGGCUAUGAUAGUGACACUAACAAAUUCUGCAUUCCAUCACUGGCAACUAAACUUUGGAAUUCCCUGGUUAAAGUCAGCAAACUUUUGAAAGCACAAGGUUUGAUAAACAAAAAUGAAGAUUUGGUCAGGAAUGCCACUCAGUUCCAAGAUGUCCAUCGUGAGAAGUGGAACGAGUUGAUCUCUGCAACAGCCCUGAGGAAUAUAGCCGAAGAAAAAUGGAAUGUACCACAACUUAUGCCCUUCACUGAGGAUGUUCAAAAAAUGCAUCAGUUUCUCAGUCAAAUGCAUGAUGAGUGCAGCAGUGCGCUAUCUGAAAAUUCUUCCACAAAGGCCUGGUCACACCUGACAAAAGUAUGUUUGACACAGAUCAUCCUUUUUAACAGACAAAGAGAAGGAGAGGUAGCAGCCCCUGUUUUUUUUGUCAAGAGACACAACUGAUCCUCCCGAGGAUGUUGAUUGGGCUCUCUCUGAAGUGGGGAAAAAACUCUGCAGACAUUUUUCAAGGGUUGUCAUCAGGGGAAAACGAGGCAGAACUGUUCCUAUUCUCUUGACUCCAAAAAUUGUGUGUGCAUUAGAACUUCUCAUCAAGUACAGGGAAACGUGUGGGGUUCUCAAAGACAACACUUACCUGUUUGCAAGACCCACAGCGAUGACACAUUUCGGAGGUUCUGACUGCAUACGAGACUAUGCAAAAACAUGUCAUGCAAAGUGUCCUGUUUCCCUUACAUCCACGAAACUAUGAAAACAUGCUGCCACCCUUUCAACUGUGCUAAACAUGACAAAACACAGAGAUGGACCAGCUGGCCAACUUUCUUGGCCAUGAUAUUAGAAUCCAUCGUGAGUUCUAUAGACUUCCGGAAAAGACAUUGCAGCUGGCAAAAAUCAGCAAAGUUUUGAUGGCACUCGAGCAAGGUCGAUUAUCUGAGUUCCAUGGAAAAACUUGGAUGAAAUCACAAUUGGUCCAAAUGAUUGUGUUGUGCAAACUGAAGAGGAACAUAUCACCGGAGAGGAAGGACACUAUCCAUGUCCUGACAAUGAGGUGGCAUUACCAACCCCUGAUGAUGAACACAUCCCGCCACCCGAGAGACUGACAACACCUUUAAAAGCAUGGAUGCAUCAUCACGACAUUGUGCAGUGAGACAUUCUUCCAAUGGUAAAGCUGCCCAGAAAAGGCGACCCUGGACACAGAAAGAGGUGAAGGCUGUCGAGAAGCACAUAAAGCGAUUCAUCCCUUCUGGUAUUGUACCAGGAAAGAGUGACUGUUUAAAAUGUUUGAGGGACGAACCGGAAGCUCUCCAAAACCGGAAAUGGCAAGCAUUAAAGUUCUAUGUGUACAACCGCAUUACGGCCUACAAAAGGAGAUUGCAGCUAAAAUAGUAGAU